This 694-nucleotide ribosomal RNA is filed under the name uncultured Providencia sp. RNAcentral's name for it is "bacterial SSU rRNA". It matches the Rfam family "Bacterial small subunit ribosomal RNA", at positions 805 to 1502 of the family's 1533-position model. The record is from RNAcentral. Lineage: Bacteria; Pseudomonadati; Pseudomonadota; Gammaproteobacteria; Enterobacterales; Morganellaceae.
AACGAUGUCGAUUUGGAGGUGUUCCUUGAGGAGUGGCUCGGAGCUAACGCGUUAAAUCGACCGCUUGGGGAGUACGGCCGCAAGGUUAAAACUCAAAUGAAUUGACGGGGGCCCGCACAAGCGGUGGAGCAUGUGGUUUAAUUCGAUGCAACGCGAAGAACCUUACCUACUCUUGACAUCCAGAGAAUUUAGCAGAGAUGCUUUAGUGCCUUCGGGAACUCUGAGACAGGUGCUGCAUGGCUGUCGUCAGCUCGUGUUGUGAAAUGUUGGGUUAAGUCCCGCAACGAGCGCAACCCUUAUCCUUUGUUGCCAGCACGUUAUGGUGGGAACUCAAAGGAGACUGCCGGUGAUAAACCGGAGGAAGGUGGGGAUGACGUCAAGUCAUCAUGGCCCUUACGAGUAGGGCUACACACGUGCUACAAUGGCGUAUACAAAGAGAAGCGACCUCGCGAGAGCAAGCGGAACUCAUAAAGUACGUCGUAGUCCGGAUUGGAGUCUGCAACUCGACUCCAUGAAGUCGGAAUCGCUAGUAAUCGUAGAUCAGAAUGCUACGGUGAAUACGUUCCCGGGCCUUGUACACACCGCCCGUCACACCAUGGGAGUGGGUUGCAAAAGAAGUAGGUAGCUUAACCUUCGGGAGGGCGCUUACCACUUUGUGAUUCAUGACUGGGGUGAAGUCGUAACAAGGUAACCA